CAUCUCCUUAAUCGGAGAGUUCCCUUCGGGGACAUUGGUGACAGGUGGUGCAUGGUUGUCGUCAGCUCGUGUCGUGAGAUGUUGGGUUAAGUCCCGCAACGAGCGCAACCCUUGUCUUUAGUUGCCAUCAUUAAGUUGGGCACUCUAGAGAGACUGCCAGGGAUAACCUGGAGGAAGGUGGGGAUGACGUCAAAUCAUCAUGCCCCUUAUGCUUAGGGCUACACACGUGCUACAAUGGGUAGUACAGAGGGUUGCCAAGCCGUAAGGUGGAGCUAAUCCCUUAAAGCUACUCUCAGUUCGGAUUGUAGGCUGAAACUCGCCUACAUGAAGCUGGAGUUACUAGUAAUCGCAGAUCAGAAUGCUGCGGUGAAUGCGUUCCCGGGUCUUGUACACACCGCCCGUCACACCACGGGAGUUGGAGACGCCCGAAGCCGAUUAUCUAACCUUGUGGAAGAAGUCGUCGAAGGUGGAAUCAAUAACUGGGGUGAAGUCGUAACAAGGUAGCCGUAUCGGAAGGUGCGGCUGGAUCACCUCCUUUCUAAGGA
RNAcentral lists this ribosomal RNA (545 nucleotides) under Clostridioides difficile. RNAcentral describes it as "bacterial SSU rRNA". It matches the Rfam family "Bacterial small subunit ribosomal RNA", at positions 995 to 1533 of the family's 1533-position model. The record is from RNAcentral. Lineage: Bacteria; Bacillati; Bacillota; Clostridia; Peptostreptococcales; Peptostreptococcaceae.